UUAGAGCCACUUCAAUGCACUACACACUCCGCCGAACUUCUCCGUAUAACCUCCAAAACAAUAAACAGUUCCCUCACUUGGAUGGCCAUAUCAAUAUCAAUAAUCUGCUACUCCGUGGUAAUACUCGAGCAUACCAAAACACUUACUCAAAGCUACCGUCCUACCCGACCAAGCCCUUUGCUGGCUCGAAUAGUCCAUUGAACAGAGGGUUUUGGGGCCCAGUUCAGCCGGCGUGAUAAAGUACACACACGGCUUACAGUCAUGCACACUUACAAUAUCACUUGAUCAAUUAUCAAUCUUCAAGCUCAACUAAGCCAAGUGCGAUAAAGUACACCCUCGACUUAGAAGGCGAGGGACAAUUGAGAUACACUUCCAAUGAAUCACUUAGCAAUAUUUCAUAAUAAGCACAUUUGCCAUAUAAUUGCACUUAGGUACACAUAAGCAGUUUAACACAUAAAUUCGGAAAACACUCACCAAUUAUCCAAGUAAAUUACUCUUGAGCCUCGGGUUUGUUUCUUGGCUCACAGCUACAUCCUGGACAAGUUAAUAAUUCCAAAUCAACUACAUAGUUUGUAGAUGUUCACUUAUUGUUCUUACUUUAUCACUUGGACUAUUAAAAUCAAGUUUGACUUUAAAGUAUAAAAUAUAACAUAUUCAAUGUUCAUGUAUCAUUUUAUUUUGAAACUUAUUGACUUUAUUGUUUUAAUCAAGAAUUAUACCUGUUUUCCCAAGUUAAUAAUUCAUAAGAUAUUUAUUUUAGGAUUUAAAUCAUUUUCCACUCAAGAUUCCAAAAUUAAGGUUUAGAAGUAUUCCCUUGGUUCCUUUUUAAUUAAUUAGACUCUAAGUUAUUUGGAAAUUAAGUUUUAUUCCACUAUACCAGUCCCUCAAUUUAAUAGCCUUUAAAAAUAUUCGUGAAAACAAUAUUAAAUAAUUAGAAGCCACUUUACGUAUAUAACUAUCGUGACUUUUCACUCAAUUGCCUUAGUCUAACUCUACUCGUGGAACUAGGUAUAGCGAUUAAAUCUCAACACAAUGGUAGCUAUCAUUUAUGAAAGCUUACAAGAUUGGAAAUUAGAAGAAAUGUUAGUUAAAAGUUGAUUUCCUCAUGGCCAUUAUCAAAGCUGCAUGCAUGCGAAACAAAAGGAAAGGCAACGAGGAAGGCAGCUUUACCAUCCUCUGGUAUUUCAAUCAUAACUAGAGCUAUGCUUAUCGAAUUGAGGCGAACUUUAUAGCGUUUCGAAGCUAAAAUAUAGACCUACAUUUCUUGUGAAGACACUAACAUCCAGUUCUCACAUUUUCAUAGUAAAAAAUGGCCAGACAGAAGCCCAUCCUGCUUCACUCACUCAGCUGUGAAGCAAUUAACAACGCAGUUCAUAGUUUUUCCUCCCUAAUUUCUUUCAGUUUUGUUCAUUAAAUUCCACAUGCAAAGGUUGGUUAUCAAACUACAGAGUACCAUCAGCAUGAAUACAAGUUUAUAGCCAAGGGAAAUCAGAACAAUACUGGUUCAGCUCACGAUCUUCUUCCUUCUGCAUUUUUUUCCAGAAUUGUUGCAGCAAUCACUCAACACUAUUU
RNAcentral lists this long non-coding RNA (1572 nucleotides) under Coffea arabica (coffee). RNAcentral's name for it is "long non-coding RNA (CARA_LNC004670)". Lineage: Eukaryota; Viridiplantae; Streptophyta; Magnoliopsida; Gentianales; Rubiaceae. The record is from RNAcentral.